RNAcentral lists this transfer RNA (65 nucleotides) under Echinolaelaps echidninus. RNAcentral's name for it is "tRNA-Tyr". Lineage: Eukaryota; Metazoa; Arthropoda; Arachnida; Mesostigmata; Laelapidae. The record is from RNAcentral.
AACAAAAUGGCAGAAUUAAUGUAUUAAAUUGUAAAUUUAAAAAUGAAUUUUUUUUUCUUUUGUUU